RNAcentral lists this ribosomal RNA (251 nucleotides) under uncultured prokaryote. RNAcentral describes it as "partial 16S ribosomal RNA". It matches the Rfam family "Bacterial small subunit ribosomal RNA", at positions 524 to 774 of the family's 1533-position model. The record is from RNAcentral.
UACGGAGGAUGCAAGCGUUAUCCGGAUUUAUUGGGUUUAAAGGGUGCGCAGGUUGUUUGAUAAGUCAGUGGUGAAAGUCUGUCGCUUAACGGUAGGAUUGCCAUUGAUACUGUUGGACUUGAAUAUGGAUGAGGUAGGCGGAAUGUGUAGUGUAGUGGUGAAAUGCAUAGAUAUUACACAGAACACCGAUUGCGAAGGCAGCUUACUAAUCCAUCAUUGACGCUGAGGCACGAAAGCGUGGGGAUCAAACU